Non-coding RNA from Plectropomus leopardus (leopard coralgrouper), 380 nucleotides. The record is from the annotation of a RefSeq genome assembly. Lineage: Eukaryota; Metazoa; Chordata; Actinopteri; Perciformes; Serranidae.
UCAUCCUCCAAACUCUCUGAUCUGUCAGCAGCCAUCUCACUUUCCAAGUUACAAGACCAUUCUGAGCACACACUGACAACAUGCUGGGGACGCUCUGCACUCUCAUCACUGCUCUAACAUGUGUGAGUGGUGUGACGGUGGUGACACAGAAGCCUCCUGUUGUGACAGUGAGGAAAGGAGAGACAGCCACCAUGGACUGUAACCUGGGGACUGUUACUAACAGUGCAGCUCGCUGGUAUAAACAGACUCCAGGAAGAGUUCCUCAGUUUGUACUGAGGUUUUAUCACAGUGAUAGCUCUCCAACCUAUGGCUCUGGUUUCUCUUCUCCAAAGUUCAUAUCUACUCAUCAGUCUACAUCAGAUUAUCGUUUGACCAUCAAC